GACGAACGCUGGCGGCGUGCUUAACACAUGCAAGUCGAACGGAAAGGCCCUGCUUUUGUGGGGUGCUCGAGUGGCGAAGGGGUGAGUAACACGUGAGUAACCUGCCCUUGACUUUGUGAUAACUUCAGGAAACUGGGGCUAAUACCGGAUAGGAUCUCCUGCUGCAUGGGGGGGGUUGGAAAGUUUCGGCGGUUGGGGAUGGACUGGCGGGUUAUCGGCUGGUUGGGGGGGUAGGGGCUUACCAAGGCUUUGACGGGUAGCCGGCAUGGGAGGGUGACCGGCGACAUUGGGCCUGAGAUAGGGCCCAGAAUCCUACGGGAGGCAGCAGUGGGGAAUAUUGCACAAUGGGCGGAAGCCUGAUGCAGAAGCGCCGCGUGCGGGAUGACGGCCUUCGGGUUGUAAACCGAUUUCGACUGUGACGAAGCGUGAGUGACGGUAAUGGGUAAAGAAGCACCGGCUAACUACGUG
RNAcentral lists this ribosomal RNA (468 nucleotides) under uncultured bacterium. RNAcentral describes it as "partial 16S ribosomal RNA". It matches the Rfam family "Bacterial small subunit ribosomal RNA", at positions 28 to 507 of the family's 1533-position model. The record is from RNAcentral.